GCUGGAAUCGCUAGUAAUCGCGGAUCAGAAUGCCGCGGUGAAUACGUUCCCGGGUCUUGUACACACCGCCCGUCACACCAUGGGAGCCGGAAAUGCCCGAAGUCAGUGACCCAACCGCAAGGAGGGAGCUGCCGAAGGUGGAGCUGGUAACUGGGGUGAAGUCGUAACAAGGUAGC
Molecule: ribosomal RNA, 176 nt
Filed under: uncultured bacterium
Lineage: Bacteria
Description: partial 16S ribosomal RNA
Rfam family: Bacterial small subunit ribosomal RNA
Source: RNAcentral